RNAcentral lists this ribosomal RNA (1286 nucleotides) under metagenome. Its description in RNAcentral is "bacterial SSU rRNA". It matches the Rfam family "Bacterial small subunit ribosomal RNA", at positions 242 to 1520 of the family's 1533-position model. The record is from RNAcentral.
UAGCUAGUUGGUGAGGUAAAGGCUUACCAAGGCGACGAUCUGUAGCGGGUCUGAGAGGAUGAUCCGCCACACUGGAACUGAGACACGGUCCAGACUCCUACGGGAGGCAGCAGUGGGGAAUUUUGGACAAUGGGGGCAACCCUGAUCCAGCCAUGCCGCUUGAGUGAAGAAGGCCUUCGGGUUGUAAAGCUCUUUCGGCCGGGAAGAAAUCGCAUGGGCCAAUACCCUGUGUGGAUGACGGUACCGGAAUAAGAAGCACCGGCUAACUACGUGCCAGCAGCCGCGGUAAUACGUAGGGUGCGAGCGUUAAUCGGAAUUACUGGGCGUAAAGCGUGCGCAGGCGGUUUUGUAAGACAGGCGUGAAAUCCCCGGGCUUAACCUGGGAACUGCGUUUGUGACUGCAAGGCUAGAGUACGGCAGAGGGGGGUGGAAUUCCACGUGUAGCAGUGAAAUGCGUAGAGAUGUGGAGGAACACCAAUGGCGAGGGCAGCCCCCUGGGUCGAUACUGACGCUCAUGCACGAAAGCGUGGGUAGCAAACAGGAUUAGAUACCCUGGUAGUCCACGCCCUAAACUGUGUCAACUAGGUGUUGGGUGGGUAAAACCAUUUAGUACCGUAGCUAACGCGUGAAGUUGACCGCCUGGGGAGUACGGCCGCAAGGUUAAAACUCAAAGGAAUUGACGGGGACCCGCACAAGCGGUGGAUGAUGUGGAUUAAUUCGAUGCAACGCGAAAACCUUACCUACCCUUGACAUGCCAGGAACUUGCCAGAGAUGGCUUGGUGCCCGAAAGGGAGCCUGGACACAGGUGCUGCAUGGCUGUCGUCAGCUCGUGUCGUGAGAUGUUGGGUUAAGUCCCGCAACGAGCGCAACCCUUGUCGUUAAUUGCCAUCAUUUGGUUGGGCACUUUAACGAGACUGCCGGUGACAAACCGGAGGAAGGUGGGGAUGACGUCAAGUCCUCAUGGCCCUUAUGGGUAGGGCUUCACACGUCAUACAAUGGUCGGUACAAAGGGUUGCCAAGCCGCGAGGCGGAGCCAAUCCCAGAAAGCCGAUCGUAGUCCGGAUUGCAGGCUGCAACUCGCCUGCAUGAAGUCGGAAUCGCUAGUAAUCGUGGAUCAGCAUGUCACGGUGAAUACGUUCCCGGGUCUUGUACACACCGCCCGUCACACCAUGGGAGCGGGUUCCGCCAGAAGUAGGUAGCCUAACCGCAAGGGGGGCGCUUACCACGGCGGGGUUCGUGACUGGGGUGAAGUCGAAACAAGGUAGCCGUAGGGGAACCUGCGGCUG